CUUACAUAGUUCUUUGGCAUUCUGUCCACCUCCUUUACCUUCAUAAUCUUCUAUUUUUUUAGAAAAAUAAUUUUUGUUAUUAUUUUUUUUAAAAAAUGGAGGUGGGCAUACUGUCAACAGAUUUGUGUUAG
This 131-nucleotide microRNA precursor is filed under the name Solanum lycopersicum (tomato). RNAcentral's name for it is "MIR394 microRNA precursor family". It matches the Rfam family "MIR394 microRNA precursor family". Lineage: Eukaryota; Viridiplantae; Streptophyta; Magnoliopsida; Solanales; Solanaceae. The record is from Rfam by way of RNAcentral.